Molecule: long non-coding RNA, 1047 nt
Filed under: Astyanax mexicanus (Mexican tetra)
Lineage: Eukaryota; Metazoa; Chordata; Actinopteri; Characiformes; Acestrorhamphidae
Description: lncRNA (ENSAMXG00005002597.1)
Source: RNAcentral
AUUUUAGUGACCUUAAUGUAGUUAACAAACACAUAUAUUAUACAAACACACAUUUAAUAAAUAAUUUUUUGACACGCCCACAAGCGACAAAUGUGGGGCGACAUAAGCGACUCAUCACGUUCUAGUGUGAACGCAGGGUCACACGUCCCUCAGAUAGAAAGGCGAGUUUUACGGAUGCAGGUAACAAUAGCAGUUCCUGGUUUUUGGAGGCUGGGCUAAGCUGCUGCAGCAGAAAGUGUUGUGCUGAAAAAGGACUUGAUGAUUAAUGUCGUUCCUACAGGUGCACUAUCUGGGGAGGACGUAUUCAAAAGAACGAGGAAAUGAGAAGAGCAGUGAUGUGGACCUGGCUGUGUGUGAGGAGUGGGAUGUGAAGACCAUCACUAGCGCUUUAAAACUCUACCUGAGUGCAGUAAGAGCUGGAAAAUAAGCUGGGAGAUAUCUGGGCUCCUGGACGGAGUGUGAGCAGAACGUGGGAGCCGCAGGGCCGGCCUCUGGUUUUGAUGUGUGUUUGGUUAUGUUGACUCGGCGUCGUGAGAGCCGGAGCUAGAUCACACACACAGGCUCGUCGCUCCGCCGCUGGUGAGGAGGGGAGCCGCAGAGCGCCGUGUUGACGUUGGCCUGUCUCGGCUGUGCCUGUACACAGGAAGUGCUUUGAUACUGAAGUCACGAGGUCAUGGGAUACAAGGCUCGUUCCAUCUGAUCUCCAGAAGCGAGGAACUUUCUCUAUUAUUUCCUUUAUCUUAAAGGGGAGAUAUUAUGCUAAACUCACUAUUUUGCAUGUUUUUGUAUUUCCACUUGGGUCUCAUCUGCCCUUAUAAACAUUAAAAACACUCCAAACACUCAAAAAAAAAAUCCAUCCGUCUGUUUUCUGUAAAUCAGCAAAGAAAGAGAAAGAGUUGUGAGAGUGUCAGGAAUUGUAUGCUUCUAUGAGACGUUUGGGUGCUCCCUUAUUCUGAUAUCACCAUAAGAAAACACCCCCCACCAGAGCCCAACCCACAAGAUUAGUUCAAGAAACGCCAGACAGUACAGAGCAGAAUAAGCCAGCAG